GGUUAAGCGACUAAGCGUACACGGUGGAUGCCCUGGCAGUCAGAGGCGAUGAAGGACGUGCUAAUCUGCGAUAAGCGUCGGUAAGGUGAUAUGAACCGUUAUAACCGGCGAUUUCCGAAUGGGGAAACCCAGUGUGAUUCGUCACACUAUCAUUAACUGAAUCCAUAGGUUAAUGAGGCGAACCGGGGGAACUGAAACAUCUAAGUACCCCGAGGAAAAGAAAUCAACCGAGAUUCCCCCAGUAGCGGCGAGCGAACGGGGAGCAGCCCAGAGCCUGAAUCAGUGUGUGUGUUAGUGGAAGCGUCUGGAAAGGCGUGCGAUACAGGGUGACAGCCCCGUACACAAAAAUGCACAUACUGUGAGCUCGAUGAGUAGGGCGGGACACGUGGUAUCCUGUCUGAAUAUGGGGGGACCAUCCUCCAAGGCUAAAUACUCCUGACUGACCGAUAGUGAACCAGUACCGUGAGGGAAAGGCGAAAAGAACCCCGGCGAGGGGAGUGAAAAAGAACCUGAAACCGUGUACGUACAAGCAGUGGGAGCACGCUUAGGCGUGUGACUGCGUACCUUUUGUAUAAUGGGUCAGCGACUUAUAUUCUGUAGCAAGGUUAACCGAAUAGGGGAGCCGAAGGGAAACCGAGUCUUAACUGGGCGUUAAGUUGCAGGGUAUAGACCCGAAACCCGGUGAUCUAGCCAUGGGCAGGUUGAAGGUUGGGUAACACUAACUGGAGGACCGAACCGACUAAUGUUGAAAAAUUAGCGGAUGACUUGUGGCUGGGGGUGAAAGGCCAAUCAAACCGGGAGAUAGCUGGUUCUCCCCGAAAGCUAUUUAGGUAGCGCCUCGUGAAUUCAUCUCCGGGGGUAGAGCACUGUUUCGGCAAGGGGGUCAUCCCGACUUACCAACCCGAUGCAAACUGCGAAUACCGGAGAAUGUUAUCACGGGAGACACACGGCGGGUGCUAACGUCCGUUGUGAAGAGGGAAACAACCCAGACCGCCAGCUAAGGUCCCAAAGUCAUGGUUAAGUGGGAAACGAUGUGGGAAGGCCCAGACAGCCAGGAUGUUGGCUUAGAAGCAGCCAUCAUUUAAAGAAAGCGUAAUAGCUCACUGGUCGAGUCGGCCUGCGCGGAAGAUGUAACGGGGCUAAACCAUGCACCGAAGCUGCGGCAGCGACGCUUAUGCGUUGUUGGGUAGGGGAGCGUUCUGUAAGCCUGCGAAGGUGUGCUGUGAGGCAUGCUGGAGGUAUCAGAAGUGCGAAUGCUGACAUAAGUAACGAUAAAGCGGGUGAAAAGCCCGCUCGCCGGAAGACCAAGGGUUCCUGUCCAACGUUAAUCGGGGCAGGGUGAGUCGACCCCUAAGGCGAGGCCGAAAGGCGUAGUCGAUGGGAAACAGGUUAAUAUUCCUGUACUUGGUGUUACUGCGAAGGGGGGACGGAGAAGGCUAUGUUGGCCGGGCGACGGUUGUCCCGGUUUAAGCGUGUAGGCUGGUUUUCCAGGCAAAUCCGGAAAAUCAAGGCUGAGGCGUGAUGACGAGGCACUACGGUGCUGAAGCAACAAAUGCCCUGCUUCCAGGAAAAGCCUCUAAGCAUCAGGUAACAUCAAAUCGUACCCCAAACCGACACAGGUGGUCAGGUAGAGAAUACCAAGGCGCUUGAGAGAACUCGGGUGAAGGAACUAGGCAAAAUGGUGCCGUAACUUCGGGAGAAGGCACGCUGAUAUGUAGGUGAAGUCCCUCGCGGAUGGAGCUGAAAUCAGUCGAAGAUACCAGCUGGCUGCAACUGUUUAUUAAAAACACAGCACUGUGCAAACACGAAAGUGGACGUAUACGGUGUGACGCCUGCCCGGUGCCGGAAGGUUAAUUGAUGGGGUCAGCGCAAGCGAAGCUCUUGAUCGAAGCCCCGGUAAACGGCGGCCGUAACUAUAACGGUCCUAAGGUAGCGAAAUUCCUUGUCGGGUAAGUUCCGACCUGCACGAAUGGCGUAAUGAUGGCCAGGCUGUCUCCACCCGAGACUCAGUGAAAUUGAACUCGCUGUGAAGAUGCAGUGUACCCGCGGCAAGACGGAAAGACCCCGUGAACCUUUACUAUAGCUUGACACUGAACAUUGAGCCUUGAUGUGUAGGAUAGGUGGGAGGCUUUGAAGUGUGGACGCCAGUCUGCAUGGAGCCGACCUUGAAAUACCACCCUUUAAUGUUUGAUGUUCUAACGUUGACCCGUAAUCCGGGUUGCGGACAGUGUCUGGUGGGUAGUUUGACUGGGGCGGUCUCCUCCUAAAGAGUAACGGAGGAGCACGAAGGUUGGCUAAUCCUGGUCGGACAUCAGGAGGUUAGUGCAAUGGCAUAAGCCAGCUUGACUGCGAGCGUGACGGUGCGAGCAGGUGCGAAAGCAGGUCAUAGUGAUCCGGUGGUUCUGAAUGGAAGGGCCAUCGCUCAACGGAUAAAAGGUACUCCGGGGAUAACAGGCUGAUACCGCCCAAGAGUUCAUAUCGACGGCGGUGUUUGGCACCUCGAUGUCGGCUCAUCACAUCCUGGGGCUGAAGUAGGUCCCAAGGGUAUGGCUGUUCGCCAUUUAAAGUGGUACGCGAGCUGGGUUUAGAACGUCGUGAGACAGUUCGGUCCCUAUCUGCCGUGGGCGCUGGAGAACUGAGGGGGGCUGCUCCUAGUACGAGAGGACCGGAGUGGACGCAUCACUGGUGUUCGGGUUGUCAUGCCAAUGGCACUGCCCGGUAGCUAAAUGCGGAAGAGAUAAGUGCUGAAAGCAUCUAAGCACGAAACUUGCCCCGAGAUGAGUUCUCCCUGACUCCUUGAGAGUCCUGAAGGAACGUUGAAGACGACGACGUUGAUAGGCCGGGUGUGUAAGCGCAGCGAUGCGUUGAGCUAACCGGUACUAAUGAACCGUGAGGCUUAACCUU
Molecule: ribosomal RNA, 2904 nt
Filed under: Escherichia coli
Lineage: Bacteria; Pseudomonadati; Pseudomonadota; Gammaproteobacteria; Enterobacterales; Enterobacteriaceae
Description: 23S ribosomal RNA
Rfam family: Bacterial large subunit ribosomal RNA
Source: RNAcentral